GCUCGAACAUACCCAUGCUGAGAUACAAAAAAACAAAAGACUCAAGCCCCCUUUAGGGGGCAGGGGAUUCGUCAGCCUCGAUGCAAUCGAAGAGGACAAUGACGGCCAGGGUUGGAGCUGGCACCGCCUCUUUGACCGCCCGAUCUUUUUGCUCCAGACUGAAGAGGUCUUCAACUCAUAAGCCCUCAUCUCCGACCUCACUAACUUCUUCCUCACCGUCUGACUCCAGG
This 230-nucleotide long non-coding RNA is filed under the name Elaeis guineensis (African oil palm). RNAcentral describes it as "long non-coding RNA (EGUI_LNC026996)". Lineage: Eukaryota; Viridiplantae; Streptophyta; Magnoliopsida; Arecales; Arecaceae. The record is from RNAcentral.